RNAcentral lists this ribosomal RNA (253 nucleotides) under uncultured bacterium. RNAcentral describes it as "partial 16S ribosomal RNA". It matches the Rfam family "Bacterial small subunit ribosomal RNA", at positions 524 to 776 of the family's 1533-position model. The record is from RNAcentral.
GACGAACCGUGCGAACGUUAUUCGGAUUCACUGGGCUUAAAGGGCGCGUAGGCGGAAUGGCAAGUCGGUCGUGAAAUCCUUCGGCUCAACCGAAGAACGUCGAUCGAAACUGCCGUUCUUGAGGAUUGCAGAGGAGACUGGAAUUCCCGGUGUAGCGGUGAAAUGUGUAGAGAUCGGGAGGAACACCGGUGGCGAAGGCGGGACUCUGGGCCGAUACUGACGCUGAGGAGCGAAAGCGUGGGGAGCAAACAGG